UCUACACUUUCGUAGUGUUGCAGACUCCAACUUGACGCUAGAAGUUCUAAAAUGUCACAUAGCAUCGCACUGGAGCAGAACGUGUGCUUAAAACUACAUAUUUCAAAAUUCACUGCAGCUUAUCUCACAAAAGGAAGAGUGGGCAGUUCUACAUAAUGAAAUUCACUGCCAGAGGACACAGGGGCCUUGCAAAGGAAACAGUCAACUAUAGCAAUGGACAUGAACAAGACUCAGCCUUCCCUUUUCUCCUAACUGGUGCACCUGGAACAAAUCUUGCCAACUGGAGAACACUGGUACAUGCUCUGUUUUCUAUAUGGAAUUACUGAUAUUCACAAACAGGUAAGACUUAAGUUUCCAUUAACUUUUCAGAAGCAUAUAGCAAAACAAAAUGAAGUCAUAUUAUAAGCUCAAAGAAUUAAUAUAAAUUUGUAGUUAACAAAAUUUCCAAAUUCAGGGUUUUCAAAGAAAGUAUUAGAAAUAGACAAACAAUAUACCUUAAUACUAGAGAAAGAAAAAGACUAUGGGGCAAAAACCACAUUAAUGUAUUCUACAUAUGAAUAUAUACACCCUACCAAAUAAAAUAUAUUGAUAAUUGAUAUAAUGGCUAUGC
Non-coding RNA from Microcebus murinus (gray mouse lemur), 610 nucleotides. Lineage: Eukaryota; Metazoa; Chordata; Mammalia; Primates; Cheirogaleidae. The record is from RefSeq and is a predicted model, not a curated record.